CCAGAUUUUGUUAAUAUUUAUCCAUGAUUUCUGUAUAUCAACCCUCCCUAGUUUUAUCACUACCCUGUGAAGUGAUGUAGGCUUAGAGAUAGUUACCAAAACAAACUUUGCGACUCAGUGGAGAUUUGAACCCCAGUCUCACAAGUCCCAGUUGGACAGUCCUUAAAGAACCAUACAUCCCUGCUCACUGGCUUUUGAUUUGAAGACCAAUGGAGGGUUAGACAGAAUUAAGUAAAAGUUAAGGUUUUCCCCUUACGUUAAGUCCAGUUGUGUCCGUCUCUGGGGAUUGGUGCUUAUCUCAAUUUCUAAGCUGAAGAGUCAGCAUUGUCCAUAGACACCUCCAAGGCCAUGUGGCCAGCAUGACUGUAUGGAGCACUGUUACCUUCCCACUGGAGCGGUACCUAUUGAUCUACUCACAUUUGCAUGUUUUUGAACUGCUAGGUUGGCAGAAGCUGGAGCUAACCGCAGCCGCUCACUCCACUGCCCAGAUUUGAACCUGUGACCUUUCAGUCUGCAAGUUCGCUAUGGUUCGCUAUGGUUUUUAUUCUUAUGUCUUUCUCACCCUGAGUUUUAACUUAAUGUUCAUGUGGUCCGCCCUUGUUUUCAUUGUUUCCUUGAUUUGUAUUGUAAUGGAUAUUAUUAUUUAUUGUAUUGUUCACUGUGUUGUGAUGUGUUGUUCUUUUAUAUGCUGUUUAUAUUGUAUUGUUCUGGGCAUGGCCCCAUGUAAGCCGCCCCGAGUCCCCGUUGGGGAGAUGCGGGGUAUAAAUAAAUUAUUAUUAUUAUUAUUAUUAUUAUUAUUAUUAUUAUUAUUAUAUUCACUGGCCAACACACAUUUUGGUGCCUCAAAUGUUAGAUCUGUUUCUGGGUAUAUUUGACCUGCUGAUUACAAAAACAACAAUAGUUUCCCCUCAUCAGCUCUAGUUUUUGACAUACAGAGUAUAUUUAACAUACCAAUCUUCAUAUGCCCAUCUGUAGAAAAUCAUGAUAACCAUAUCUAAGAAACUAGAGAUGAUGUUGUCUAUCAUAAGCAAUUUUCUGAAUCAGUAAAUUUUCUGUCUCGAGCAACCCCAGGAACAGACCAAAAAGCUAAGAAAUCAACAAUUUUGGGGGGGUUGGGCUAUAUUACCAGGCAUGGAGCAACAGAUUCUGCUAACCCAAUGUGAUCUUAAAUGAAUCUAUUGCACUUUAUCUAUUUAAAAUUUGUAACUCAUAAUGUGCACCUUGCUUAUCCGCUAUUGCAACCUAAUUGUUUUUAAUUCGAUGUUUUAAUACCGCAUUGUGUUUUUUCGGCUGCUGUGUAUAUAUUAUUAUUGGUUUUUAUUAUUGUUCUUUGAUGUUUCAUAUUUUAUUUUAUCAUUGUUUUGUAUCUGAUUUUGCUGUAAGCCGCCCCAAGUCCCCUUCGGGGGAGAUGGAGGCGGGAUAUAAAUAAACUUAUUAUUAUUAUUAUUAUUAUUAUU
Molecule: long non-coding RNA, 1457 nt
Filed under: Anolis carolinensis (green anole)
Lineage: Eukaryota; Metazoa; Chordata; Lepidosauria; Squamata; Anolidae
Description: lncRNA (ENSACAG00000036126.1)
Source: RNAcentral